AUCGAACGCUGGCGGCAUGCCUUACACAUGCAAGUCGAACGGCAGCACGGGAGCAAUCCUGGUGGCGAGUGGCGAACGGGUGAGUAAUAUAUCGGAACGUGCCCAGUCGUGGGGAUAACGUAGCGAAAGCUACGCUAAUACCGCAUACGAUCUAUGGAUGAAAGCGGGGGAUCGCAAGACCUCGCGCGAUUGGAGCGGCCGAUAUCAGAUUAGGUAGUUGGUGAGGUAAAGGCUCACCAAGCCGACGAUCUGUAGCUGGCCUGAGAGGACGACCAGCCACACUGGGACUGAGACACGGCCCAGACUCCUACGGGAGGCAGCAGUGGGGAAUUUUGGACAAUGGGCGCAAGCCUGAUCCAGCAAUGCCGCGUGCAGGAUGAAGGCCUCGGUUGUAACUAGUCUUUGUUACGGAACGAAACGGUAGAGGCUCUAAUACAGUU
This 440-nucleotide ribosomal RNA is filed under the name uncultured bacterium. RNAcentral describes it as "bacterial SSU rRNA". It matches the Rfam family "Bacterial small subunit ribosomal RNA", at positions 30 to 471 of the family's 1533-position model. The record is from RNAcentral.